AUUGUGGCCAAUGUGAGGCUUCGCCACACUUUACGUUGCGAGCCUCAAGGAAGUGGGGCUUAGCGACAUCUUUGCUCGAUUGAGGACUGAAGGAUUUCGUCAUCACACCUCAGAUCUAGCAGAGGCUAUCUUUGGUUUCGUCGGUACUCCUAUCAUUGCAUCUCAAAUUUUGUCGAGGUGAUCUAAUGUCUCGUCAAUGAUUUUGACCACACUACACCUCGAAACCCAUCGAGGUGACUUGGGGCC
This 246-nucleotide long non-coding RNA is filed under the name Elaeis guineensis (African oil palm). RNAcentral describes it as "long non-coding RNA (EGUI_LNC072091)". The record is from RNAcentral. Lineage: Eukaryota; Viridiplantae; Streptophyta; Magnoliopsida; Arecales; Arecaceae.